UUUAAACUGCCGAGUUUGCCCUUCGGCAAACGUCGUGAUUGUAUGCCGUUUCUCAUUGCAUUACGAAACGGCGGAAAAUAAACAAUCCUCAAAAUCCGAAGAUUUUUCCGGUUGUUUAUUUUAAGA
This is a regulatory RNA element of Treponema pedis str. T A4, 126 nucleotides long. It matches the Rfam family "TD-1 RNA". From Rfam's summary of the family: non coding RNA found in Treponema denticola NCBI's taxonomy places the organism in Bacteria, Pseudomonadati, Spirochaetota, Spirochaetia, Treponematales, Treponemataceae. The record is from Rfam.